GGCAACAGAGAGGAAGCAGCCAUUGUGCUGAUUGACGGCGAGAGGCUGUGGCUGAUACUGUGCCCAUGGUGAUGAAUGACCGACGGUGCAUACCCAGGGGGCGUUGUGCGGCUGCCAACUAAGACACCCCAAUACAAUCAAGGGGAACACUAAGACACUUGUGGCCAGGUGUUGCUUGACUGGCAGGAGCAGACCGUUUAUGAUCGUGUGAAACUAGACGGUGUUCGACAAACAGACGUUUCUGCUGGCUUUCCUGGCAGGUCCAUCGUAGUCUACUUCCACAACACAGCAAACGCAGGCAAAGACUGGCCCGUGGUUCCCUUGGACCACCAAAGAGGACCGACGUCUGGGCUACAAACGCACAUGUCUUCAGCCCCAGAGACGCCACCAACCCUGCUCCCUUCUGGCAACUCCAGAGGCUCUGGGUUCAUCAGUCCCACACAAGGCUAAACUGGAUGACCCAGAGUUGCACUGAAAGACCCCAACCUCCGGCUCGCCAAAGCUUCUUCGGUGCCACUUACAAGACGGGGCAGACAAUGGACUCGAGGCGGUUUCACAGCGGUAUGAAGCCACCAUCGGGAAGGAGCAUGACUGGCAGAAAAUCGUCCGGCCUCAAUCCAAACACAAGCAGCACCUGACGGCAGGCACUCGUCAGUUGUGCUGUAAACCUUAAACUCUCCAUGUUUUUGUGCCGGGGUCAUGCUGAUAUGAAUCAGGAUGAGGGGAAUGGACAUCACUCCCCGAGGACAGAGAGCCAAAGACCAGCUCUGUAGAAGGAUGACUCAGGAAAUCUUCCAGGUUGCAGAGAGGGACACAGCCAGUGGCAAGCAGCACGGCUGAAGCUGUUCUCCAGAAGAUGGGAUGCAGGCAGAGGAGCAAUGAAGAAGAGGGGCAGACUGACCAGGUCCCUGGGGACAGAAAAAGCCAGAGAUCCAAGGGGCAUCAAGUCCAUCAGCCAGUAGGCUCUUGUUCCACCAGCGCUCCCUGAAACUCUGCACACACACAUUGGCCAGACUGUCCCCGUCCUGGUAGUCCUCCCUCAUCUUGUCUGGAAUGAGGUCCUCCGACAGCACCUGGAGAGCAGACAGAGAUUCAGGACUUGAUGUCAUACAAGUUGAUUGUGUGAACAAAGCCAAGUCCUCACCUCGGUGAGCGCCUGCAGGGUAGUUUCUUUGGGACUCAGUCUCUGCAACGCCUCAUCUGUCAUUCGUAGAGUGGUUUCCGUGCGCUGCAACACAAAGGAGGACUGCUGCUGUCGAAGGAUUCUCAACAGGAGUCUAAGGGGACAUUCAGAAAAUAGGAUUCGCAUUUAAAACUCUUCAUACACAUCUGUCAUUUGAGUUAUUCAGAGUUUAUGAAUCAUGUUUUUCUUAUUUAUCCAUUGAAAUUCAAAAGGUUGAGCACCCAUGUUUACACAACAUCUGGUCCCACUUCUCUUUCAACUAGUACAAUAUAUAUAUAUACUGUAAAUUGGCUUUAAAACCUCUGUACCUCGUCCUGAUGAAACAGGUGCACGCUUUCAGCCAGAUUCUGUUGUCAUUGGGCUGUUCCUCCUCACUCCCUCCAUCAUUCUGCUCUUCUGAUGAAUCACACCUCUCUGGGAAACACGACCCUAGAAAAUAGUCAAAUACAUCAGACCGUGAGGACAAAUGAUUGAAUUCUCAUCAAUUCGUUUGCUAUGUGAGUGAGUGUUCAUUCAAGAUAGCCAUAAAAAAAGAAGAAUAAAUUAACAAUUGGCCUGCAUUAUUUACUUUUAAAUUGUAUCCGUGCUAAAAGAAAACAGGAAAUGACCUCCUACCUGUGGUGUUGUCUCCCAGCAGCUGCAGACACGUCUGCCCGAGGCUGUGCCAGUGCCAGGGGUUAAAGGGCAGCAGGCUACACAGUCGCUGCAGCGCCGCCAUCUUUGAUCCCACGGCCCCAAAAUGCUGGUAGAUGCUGACCUUUGGUGAAAGAAGCUCAGUUGAAUAAUAACAUUAACCAUUUACAUGGACUGUCUGUACCAAUUUUUGGGGAUUAAUAAAGUUUUCUAAUCUAAA
This is a long non-coding RNA of Cyclopterus lumpus (lumpfish), 2036 nucleotides long. RefSeq lists it as uncharacterized. NCBI's taxonomy places the organism in Eukaryota, Metazoa, Chordata, Actinopteri, Perciformes, Cyclopteridae. The transcript has 8 exons. The record is from RefSeq and is a predicted model, not a curated record.